GGGUCGGUAGUGAAGUGGUUUAACACGUCGCCCUGUCACGGCGAAGAUCGCGGGUUCGAAUCCCGUCCGACCCGCCA
Molecule: transfer RNA, 77 nt
Filed under: Candidatus Uhrbacteria bacterium CG_4_9_14_3_um_filter_36_7
Lineage: Bacteria; Candidatus Uhriibacteriota
Description: tRNA-Asp
Rfam family: tRNA
About the family: Transfer RNA (tRNA) molecules are approximately 80 nucleotides in length. Their secondary structure includes four short double-helical elements and three loops (D, anti-codon, and T loops). Further hydrogen bonds mediate the characteristic L-shaped molecular structure. tRNAs have two regions of fundamental functional importance: the anti-codon, which is responsible for specific mRNA codon recognition, and the 3' end, to which the tRNAs corresponding amino acid is attached (by aminoacyl-tRNA synthetases). tRNAs cope with the degeneracy of the genetic code in two manners: having more than one tRNA (with a specific anti-codon) for a particular amino acid; and 'wobble' base-pairing, i.e. permitting non-standard base-pairing at the 3rd anti-codon position.
Source: RNAcentral